RNAcentral lists this ribosomal RNA (871 nucleotides) under uncultured bacterium. RNAcentral's name for it is "bacterial SSU rRNA". It matches the Rfam family "Bacterial small subunit ribosomal RNA", at positions 1 to 812 of the family's 1533-position model. The record is from RNAcentral.
CUCGUAAGGUCUCCAGCGCUCUCUAAUUAGAUAUGAGACACCGUUUAGCGUCCAGAGUUUUGUCAUGGCUCAGGACGACGCUGCGGCGUCCUUAAUCAUGCAAGAUGAGCGGAAAAAUGGAGCUUGCCGCGGGAAUCUCGCGGCGGGAGGGUGAAUUACCUGUGGGCAACCGGCCCUGAGAGAUUGGAUUAUUCCGGGAAACCGGGGCUUAAUCCCGAAGGUUCUUUUCCCGCCAGGAGGAAACCCUAAAGGUUGGUUUUGCUUCCCAUUACAGGAGGGCCCCCGGGCCAUUAAGUAAUUUGUGGGGGUACGGCCUCCCCAGGGGGCCAUUCGUUACCCAUCCUGGGGGGGGAUUGGCCCCCGUGGGGCUUAGGCAACGGCCAGAACUCCUCGGGGAAGCCGCAAGUAGGAAUUUUUCCCCAAUGACGAAAAUCCUAAGGGACAACCCCCCCGGGAUUAAGAAAGUUUUUGGAUUGUUAAAAUUUUGUGGUUAGGAAGGACAAAUUCCGUUAGAAUCGGCCGGUACCUUGACGGUACCUAACCAGAAAGCCACGGCUAACUACGUGCCAGCAGCCGCGGUAAUACGUAGGUGGCAAGCGUUGUCCGGAAUUAUUGGGCGUAAAGCGCUCGCAGGCGGUUCCUUAAGUCUGAUGUGAAAGCCCCCGGCUCAACCGGGGAGGGUCAUUGGAAACUGGGGAACUUGAGUGCAGAAGAGAAGAGUGGAAUUCCACGUGUAGCGGUGAAAUGCGUAGAGAUGUGGAGGAACACCAGUGGCGAAGGCGACUCUCUGGUCUGUAACUGACGCUGAGGAGCGAAAGCGUGGGGAGCAAACAGGAUUAGAUACCCUGGUAGUCCACGCCGUAAACGAUGA